GUGGGCAAGAUGGCCGCCGGUGAGAGUCGCACACCGCCGUCGCUGGCCGGGACUUAGCAAAGUAAGGAUUCCCGUAAUGACUACAGGUCACCCUGGAGGAAGGCACACCAGAGAUAAGAAGCCGCUCCAAUAAGUAUCUCCUGUUCCGCGUGGCUAGCCCAGAGCCCCACCUCACGGCAGAGGCUUACUUCUCAGCUGAUGGCGAGGCCCUGCGGGAGCCAGUUAGAAAAAUGUGCCCCUUGUCACUCAUGCCGACUGACCGUAGCCAGUCAGGUAAUUGACCAGCAGGGAGGAUGAGAACCAGGCUUCUGGCUCUCCCUGUCCCGCUUACUAGAUACCACUCCAUCAGCCCGGGUAAUGGGAGCCCUAAUCUUUCAUCACCUGCUCCCUAAGCUGUGCGCUGGCCGGAAUGUUCCAGAAAAGAUGGAAAGCAACAAAGUCCAAGCAGGACAGUGCACCGGGGCCCUGUGAGGACGGCCCGAGUGGCCAGAUCUCCUGCUCCCCCUCCCCCCGCCCCCGUCUCCAGGACUCCAAAAGCAGAUCCCCGCAGACCGAAAUCCCUCCAGAGUCCUCACGGCCUGUUGAACAAGCUCGUCUGUACAGUGCGCAUCUAUCCUUCUCACUCACUGCUGCCCCCAACUCGCACCCUAGGAGGGUUAUGUGCAGAUGCGAAUGGUGACUUUUAUGAGCUGCCCGAAGCUGUGUGCCCAGAACUGCACUGGAUCCCAGAAGGCGGUGCCGUUACGUCCAUUUUUCAGAUGGUGAAAUGGAGGCAUGGAAGUUAAAGCCUCUACCACCUGCUGCCCUCAAACCUGAAAUCCAGCAGGUGGUUCUGCCGGAGGUAAGCAUGGAGCCAAGCAGACAGUCGGCACGGGAACCGCAGCAUCACCCACCUCGGGAGGGCCUCAUGCUGCUGCCGCCAGCACUGGCACUCCCCGUUUCGGACAUCCUGCCUCGCAUCUCUUGACUGUCACAGCUCAGCUUGAAUGCAGAGUCUCCACGGCCGGCUGAGGCCACAAACCUCUCUCUCAAAUCUGUGCCCUGGUCUGUCUGCUUUAGGGCCGGAUGACAGCCCCUUUCUGGAGUUGCCACUGUGGCUCAGCGGAUUAAGAACUAGACUGGUACCCAUGAGGCUGCAGGGUGACGUGCAGCCAUGUCAUGAGAAGGACACUUACGCAGACUGGAACACGGAGAGGAACAAGCAAUGACAAGCACGAACUUGGCUCCCCUGAGAGUCAGCCACCUUGGCCUCCACUGUAGCCUCAGCCAGCACCUUCGCGGCAACCUCAUGGGAGACCCUAGGCCAGAACCUCCAGCUGAUCAGUUCCAGAAAUCCUGCCCCAAAGAAAAAUGGGCCGUUCUAAGCCUGUUUGGAAGGGAUUUCUAAUACAGUAAAGAUAAUUAACCCUUCGUCUCUAUCCCCCCGAUGACAGCCAGAGCCCUAUUUUCAAAAUGUAAGUAUCCAGAGUUCCCGCUGUGGCUCAGGAGGUGAAGAACCCGACAGUGUCCAUGAGGAUGUGGGUUCGAUCCCUGGCCUCGCUCAAUGGGUUGAGAAGCCUGUGUUUCCACAAGCUGCAGUGUAAGUGGCGAUGCAGCUCAGACCCCUCGUUGCUGUGGCUGUGGUGUAGGUCAGCAGCUAUAGGUCCGAUUGGACCCCUAGCCUGGGAAAUUCCAUAUGUCGCAGGUUCGGCCCAAAAAAGAAAGAAAAAAAAUUUUUCUAUGGCUUUCAAAUCUUCAGAAAGAACAGUGAAACUGAUGAAACUGGCAUCCAGGCUUCCUCAGGACGUGGCCUCUUGGCUGCAUCCUCGGGCAGCAGCAGCCCCGGAGGGCUCUCCUUUCUGAGGCCCCUCCAUCAGAAACGCUCCUGGAGGGGGUCGCUCACACCCCUAAGAGUGGCCCGUUCCUGUAUCCACACUGACUGACUGACAUCUGCCAGGACGCCAGGGCUCUGACCCAGCUGGUUGACUUUUAUGUCUCUGGCCCCGGGUAUGGAGCACUUGAGUCAUUUUGAUGGGAAGACAGUAAAAGGACUAGAAAAAAAAUUGCCUUCAACUCUGUGACUUCCAAAGCCACCAGCAGGAGACUCAAAGGGCACAAUUUCCACUCAACGUUUGCUAUCAACUCAUCUCCAUAAACCCAUCUUUUCUGGAGCCUCUCAGAUCAUUUCUGGAGGCGGGGAGCUUUGAAAACAAACUCUGCCGGUUUCGCAACUCCCUGUGGCCACCCCCGGGGGCGGGGGGUUGGGGGGAAGAGCCCCGUGUGAUGGUUGAUCCUCCUGGCCCCCCCAGCCAUGGCCCUGGAUCCCAGCGUCCCAUCAGGUAGACCUGCCACCUGGCUGCCCCCUGAAACUGACCUCGAACCCGGAACAGGGAGACUGCAGGUGGGGUGCGGGUUUCCGGGGUGUGCCUGUAGAGGCAAGGGCCGGCAGGUCUGCAGGAAACGUUUACUGCAACCACAGUGCCGGGCUGGGCUGUCGGGCUACGCACAGACCGGGGAUCAUGUCGACGUGUUAGUGAUUCGUGGAGGAGGAGAGGCGGUGGGUAUUUUGUUCUGCUUGUCCGAGUGAUCCGGUUUCCACAUAUGUUGGGAAAUACCUGUUUUAGCCACUCUGAUGGAAAAAAUAUGUGUGAGUCAGCCGGCCUGGAAGUCUUCCAGAAGGUCAGUUAGCCUGGUGGGUGCUUAACCAGGGUGAAGGGCCCCGGGGUUUUAUACUCUGGAAACAUGGGGAAUGGCUUGCCCUGGCUGAGCAGGGUCCCCAGAGCCGCCUGGUGGCCCCAGCCUCGGGCUCCCUCCUCUUACUCAGCACCCCCCCCAACCCACCUCCGCGGCUGCACCUGAGCCUGCCUUCCAUUCCUCCAAGAUGCUGGGCCGCCCUGGGCUCCUCCUCCGGGGCUCUGCAUGGCCUGUUCCUUCCAGCUGUUCAGUCCUACGUCAGCAUCAGCACCCCCGGCGGGGAAGGGGGGGGUCACUCACUGCACCAUCUUUCCCAGGGAGCACCCCCCCCACGCCCUGAGUAAGUCAGGCUGGAGCCAGGAAUUUGAAGUGAGCAAAGGAAUGCUGAUAAUACCAGCUGCGAAAGUGUACACAGGGCCCACUGCCUCACACCCAUACUGGGGCCAUGGCAUUGCCGUGGAGUCGAGGGGGCUGAAGGGUCCUUUUCGCUCUCGGCUCUUUUUCUGAAAUGAGGGCUUGCAGGGUUUGCUGCAACUGAGGGGGGGAACCCCCACAAUGUCUGGUUUCACUCGACAGUUAAUGGUUUAUUUCACCCUCAAGUAUUUGCCUGGUUGCCUUUAAUUAGGAGAAACUCCAAAGAUGCUAAGCGCUUAAACACAAGCAGCUACACUCUUCCACAGCUGCCUCGCCAGGGCAGGUUUGUGCCCCGGUGGGAAGGGGAGGGGGGACUGGGAGGGGCUCCUUCGGUCAAGGGCAAACCUCUGGGGAGGGUGGGGGCGUGAGUUCUUAGCCACUGGCUUGCUCACAGCAGCAGGGACGGGUGCAGUUGCUGGAAGGAGAACUGCAGCCAGGUAGACCCAGGAUACCGCCUGCGGCGCCUGGAUGUGGCUCUCCCAUCGUCAAGGCCAGUGUGGUUUUCAGCACAGGAGCCUCCGCCUGACUGUGCACUACUCAUGCUCUCAUGGCAUGCCUCUCCCCACCUCCUUGUGAAUACCAGUUCUUGAUAAAAUUCACAGCUAGGAGUUCCCUGGUGGCACAGCAGGUUAAGGAUCUGACAUAGUUAUGCUGUGGCUCAGUUCGCUGCUGUGGUGCUACUUAGAUCUCCAGCCUGGGAGCUAACGUAUGCCAUGGGUGUGGCCAGAAAAACAAAUUCACAACUGAAAAAGCAAAUUAAUCAACCAUGACACCUCCCAGUCGCUCUAUGCAGAGGCAUCGGCGGUGCUGGGGUAACUGGGUCUCCAAGGGGUGGGGCAUGAGGUAGUGCUGGCUGAGUUCUCUGGGGAAAACACUCUUCCCGUGGCCCAGCAACUAGCAACAUGCCUGAAUAUUUUAAUCUCUCUCUCUCUUUUUUUUUUUUUUUUGGUCUUUUUAGGGCCGCACCGUCUAGGGGUCAAAUCAGAGCUACAGCUGCCAGCCUCUGCCACAGCCAAAGCAACUCAGGAUUCAAGCCACAUCUGUGGCCUAUACCACAGCUCACAGUAAUGCCGGAUCCUUAACCCACUGAGCGAGGCCAGGGAUCGAACCUGUGUCCUCGUGCAUACUAGUCGAGUUCGUUAUUCCUGAGCUUGCCUGAACAUGCCUGAAUAUUUUAACAUGAGCUCAUAGGAGUCCAGAUAACGCAUCACUGCAAAACACCUCAUGGUGCCCAUCUUAGGGAAAAACCACCCACCUCCACAGCCCCUAACUAAGGAAAAGAAGGACCAGACCUGCUUUCUAGAAGAAAUCUGAACUAGGACAUCAAGAUCUAGAUUAGAAUGAAGAGUCCUGAAAAAUCACGAUAGUCGUGUGAACAAACCAGUCUGAUAGGAGCUACUGCAUGGCUAGCUCUUCUUUUCAGUAUGUUGCUGAGUGGGAGGGAAGCUUCGAGAAGGCAGGGACCUUGUCUCCUAAUGUCCCUGGCCCUCCAGUGUGUUAAGAAAGUGCUCGAUUCACAGGGAAGCUCCGUUGUCCUCACAGAUGGAGAGCUGCCCUUAGUGAGGACAUUAACCAGGUUAAGAGCCAGCCUUUACAGAAGAGUGAGGUCAAAGCCAGAGGAGGGAGCAGGACUGAAUCCUAGAUGUUUGGCGGAUGCAAACAGCCUCUUUAGGACUGAACUGGAAGGCAAAGGCCGUGGAGAUGCACCUCGCCGCAGCUCGGGCUCAGCCGCAAACUUGGACCUGCCCCAGGGAAACUGGGAAUGUCAAGGCCAGCCAGGUGUGAGGCUGUGCAGAGAGAGAAGACAAGCCGUAGCUGCCCCACCUCGCUCGGCCCCAGCAGAGUUAACCAGUCCCAGCCUGGGAGGGGGGAGAGCAGAAAAAAAAAACCACCACCACCUCCUCUAAAUGAAAAGGUCAACAAAGGCUCGAGACCAGAGGCCCCAGCCCUGCUAGGGAACAGCUCUGCACUCUGCCUUCUCAUUGUGGAAAAAAUACACAACAAGUAGAUUUCUGCACCCAUACGUCACCGAGACGAAAAUAAUGCAGCGGUUGGCUCAUGGAUUUAUCACAAGCAUUUUGCGAGUCUCAUUAUGUGCCAGUAGCUGUGCAACAUGCUGACAGUAGCUUUGCAAACAUCAAAACCAGAGUCUGAGUUCCUCUUCAGAUCAUCUCUCCCCAGCAGGUGGGCAGGCUCCGUCUCUGCUCCAGCAGGACCACGAGACUCGGCUGGGCACCCACCGGCGAGAGUGUCCCCGGACUGCAGAACACGGAGCCAGGACAAAGCAGGGGAUGGAGCCUAGAGGCAAAGGCAGGAUUUGGGGGUACAGACAGCCCCACGGAAGGAAAGGGAAACCCAGGCAGGAAACAGACACCAGGCAGGGGCAGAAAGACAAAAGCCACAGCUGCCAAAACAGAGUCAGGUGGGUCUGAUGUAGAGUAAAAGACAGCACCUGGAAGGUUCCAGAAGUGACAGGAAAGCACCUUUUUUUAACAAGAUGCCUCUGUCCUCACCGCACUGGGAAGGGGGUUGUUAAAACCACUCCCACUGGUUCAGGAUCGCUCAAGGCCCCAGUUGGAAUAUUCCAGCAAAUCUAAACUAUAGUCAGUAGUACCAUGACUUGGCGUGCCACUAAGACAGAAAGAAACCUAACAAAUUAGGAUCCACCACUGAUUUUAAAUGUAGACCAGUCUCCGAAAUGUGCAAAUACAAACAGUGGGCAUCAGAGAAUCAAUGAAAUACAGACACUUGGGAGGAAUAGACGAGGGAGAGAGAGGGACACCAUCCGUAAAUCCCAGGAGAGACUGGACGACGGCUUCCUGUUCAGGAUACACCGUGGUAACAUUGGAAUCCUGGUAACCAUGGAGACAGGAAAGCCGGUGAAAAGGAGGGAAGGAUGGAGGGGCACCAGAUCAGCUGUCUCCAAGACAGCAAAUCCAUCAGGAACCCCGGUCAGCGAGUUAGGGACCCUUCGAAACUCGGUCUGCACUGAUCCAGGAACACCUUUCCUCUCGAAUCACGGCCGUCCUCAGGGAGAACUUCGCCACAAACACGUGGAUGCAGCCAAGCAGCGCAUUCGCUGUGUUCGCUUCCCAGAGAGCGGACGAUCAGUGAAGGCUUGUUGACUAAUGAUGUAAUUCACAUGAUGAAGGAUUAAAUGAUGGGGUGGAUCAGGCAGUGAAACAGAGGCAUCUGCCUUUGAGCCCAGGGGCUGAGAGAGCGCUCAGGAGCAAUGUCUCAGCCUUCUUCAUCUGUGAACAACUGAUUAUAGGUGGGAAUUAAAGAUUAGGUAAUUUAGGAAAUAAAAA
RNAcentral lists this long non-coding RNA (6395 nucleotides) under Sus scrofa (pig). RNAcentral describes it as "lncRNA (ENSSSCG00065053235.1)". Lineage: Eukaryota; Metazoa; Chordata; Mammalia; Artiodactyla; Suidae. The record is from RNAcentral.